GCACUAUUGAUGUCCUUGCCAAUCUUCCCCUUGACACUCUAUAUGUCUCCAAUAACCGUUUUACUGGCUGGAUUCCCGAUCAAUUGAAAAGCAUCAAUUUGCUGAAGGAUGGUAAUUCAUGGAGUUUGGGGCCUACGCCUCCACCUUCACCUGGUGUCCCUCCUGCCACUAGAAGUAACAGAAAUCACA
Hibiscus syriacus is the source of this 189-nucleotide long non-coding RNA. RefSeq lists it as uncharacterized. The record is from RefSeq and is a predicted model, not a curated record. The transcript has 3 exons. Lineage: Eukaryota; Viridiplantae; Streptophyta; Magnoliopsida; Malvales; Malvaceae.